UUAACAUUUCUUCUUUAUUUAAGAACCGAGAUAGAACAACAGAGAGGACUUUUACCAUCACGAUUUGCUAGCUUCUUUUUCAUGGAGAUAUUAACUCGAAGAAUCAGCUGAAACCCCAAAAUACAUCUUCUCCGAAACCCAUUUCGUGCUCUCAAAAAAUGAAAAAAAAACCAACAAAGAAAAAGAAGAACAAAGAUAAUAACCUCCAAAUCCUUCUUCUCCACCACCGAGAUUAACAUAUUAUGAUCUUCCUCGUUCACCGAGCAAAUCGAUUGAAAACAUCCAUCCAUUAAAAUGCCUCCCAAGCCCCAAAAGCCCAAAGCAAAAUUGGUUAAACAACAUAAAAGGAGUAAAAACAUCAUCGCUGCAUCUUCCUCACAGAACUUGGAGGCACAAGAAGAUGAUCCUUUAGGAUCACUACUUUCAACACCAAAUGUAGAGGUAGAUGAAAAUAAUGGAGCACCACAAGAUUUAUGACUAUUGGUCACGUACAAUUCACAUAUCGCAUCUCGAAUUUAGACGGGAGAGAAACCAUCGAAACAGUUGAACGUAAAAAAUCACUCCAAAACACAUAAUGAAUGGAAUCUAGAAAGUUCAUGCCAGAAGGUUAAAGAUGUAGUCGAAAUGAUUGGCUUAACACAUCUUGUUCAGAAUGUGUAUGUGAAAGUGGAUGACGCAUUGUGUAGUGCAUUUGUAGAAAGAUUUUAUCCAAAAACAAAUACCUUUCACUUUUCUUUCGGGGAGAUGACUAUAACCGCUGAUAACAUAAGUAAUAUCUUGGGGUUGCAUAUGGCAGGAAUACCAGUAAAAGGUACAGGGCCUCAUGCUACUGCAUACGAAGAAUGUGUGAAUCUGGUUACCAAUGGUUUAGGUGUGUCAAAAGAAGAUGCAGAACAACAAGUGGCUACGAAAAGAAAUCUAAGCUUAAUUUGGUUGAAGGAAUGGAAGAACAUAAAAGAUGAAGAUAGUGAAAUGGAUAAGGAGUGUGCCAUUAGAGCUUAGUAAUUAAAAUAAUAGUUGCCAGUAAGAGCAAGCCGUAACGUCACCAAAUAUAUUUUAAGCGAUUCUGAUGAGGCUGUUGAUGAUAAGUCAGAUUCUGAUGCUGCUGUGGAUAUUUCUUCUGAAGAUGAUGAUUAACUUUGCAAAGUCUUAAUGUGAGAGAACUGUAUAUGAGCAGGAAAGGUUUCAGUAUUGCUGAUCAUGUGCUUUGUGUGGUUUACUAUUUCUGACUUGUCUGUCUUUACUUUUGAUCUGUUGUCUCUUAUCCAAUGACUUGAAGUAUUAUUGACAAUAUUUACAGAUAUUAAUCUAAUUAGGUUGGCUUCAAAUUUUCUAUCAA
Molecule: long non-coding RNA, 1339 nt
Organism: Papaver somniferum (opium poppy)
Lineage: Eukaryota; Viridiplantae; Streptophyta; Magnoliopsida; Ranunculales; Papaveraceae
Exons: 3
Source: RefSeq, a predicted model, not a curated record